This 90-nucleotide small RNA is filed under the name Nitrosococcus halophilus Nc 4. RNAcentral describes it as "Nitrosococcus halophilus Nc4 t44 RNA". It matches the Rfam family "t44 RNA". Rfam says of the family: This family consists of a number of bacterial RNA genes of between 135 and 170 bases in length. The t44 gene is found between the map and rpsB genes in all species in the full alignment apart from Shigella flexneri. Lineage: Bacteria; Pseudomonadati; Pseudomonadota; Gammaproteobacteria; Chromatiales; Chromatiaceae. The record is from Rfam by way of RNAcentral.
UUUUAAAGCAAAUGAAAUCACACGCAUAUCGGCACAUGUAUCGGGGUGCCUCGGGUUUAGGUCGAUAUAUGGGAUAUGCGGAGGAAUAAC